UUGAUGGAAUUUCUUGAAACUUUGUAUCUCAUGUUAGAUUGCUUUUUAUGGUAAGUGAUUCAUAAUAAAUUGCUUUGGUGUUUGUUAUGUUCACAACUUAGGAAUUCUUGUUACCUUAUUAACUGGAUUUUCUUGAAAAUUUGUAGAGCUGUGGAUGGUAUUUUCAUACUUUCAUGAAGUUUGGAUAUGAGAAGGAAAUGCUUUAGUUUGGAAAGGGGAGUGAGAAGAUGAAGCAAAGAUGCAUUGUAUUUGAAAGUAUCGUGAAAUAUAAUCAUGAUAGGAAGGCAGAAGAAUAGGAACAAAGUAGAAAAACGAAGACACAGGAAAAUAAAGGGAAAAAAUACAUACCUUUCCUAAAAAAAACAACACCUAAUGACAACAAUUGAUAAUCAACACUGAGCACGAUAA
This 408-nucleotide long non-coding RNA is filed under the name Mytilus galloprovincialis (Mediterranean mussel). The record is from RNAcentral. Lineage: Eukaryota; Metazoa; Mollusca; Bivalvia; Mytilida; Mytilidae.